GGCUCCGUAGCUUAACUGAAUAGAGCAGCUGACUACGGAUCAGCAGGUUGGGGGUUUGAAUCCCUCCGGAGUCA
Molecule: transfer RNA, 74 nt
Filed under: Bacteroidales bacterium
Lineage: Bacteria; Pseudomonadati; Bacteroidota; Bacteroidia; Bacteroidales
Description: tRNA-Arg
Rfam family: tRNA
About the family: Transfer RNA (tRNA) molecules are approximately 80 nucleotides in length. Their secondary structure includes four short double-helical elements and three loops (D, anti-codon, and T loops). Further hydrogen bonds mediate the characteristic L-shaped molecular structure. tRNAs have two regions of fundamental functional importance: the anti-codon, which is responsible for specific mRNA codon recognition, and the 3' end, to which the tRNAs corresponding amino acid is attached (by aminoacyl-tRNA synthetases). tRNAs cope with the degeneracy of the genetic code in two manners: having more than one tRNA (with a specific anti-codon) for a particular amino acid; and 'wobble' base-pairing, i.e. permitting non-standard base-pairing at the 3rd anti-codon position.
Source: RNAcentral